Molecule: long non-coding RNA, 635 nt
Filed under: Setaria viridis
Lineage: Eukaryota; Viridiplantae; Streptophyta; Magnoliopsida; Poales; Poaceae
Description: long non-coding RNA (SVIR_LNC002619)
Source: RNAcentral
AAGCGAACAGGCCCAUAGAUACAUUAUGUGUCUCAUGUACUUCAUGAAGCAUUGUCAAUUCACAAAUUGUCAACGUCAUGGCAUAUUGGCAUAGUGUCUAUGAUAUAUCAGAAGUACAGUUUAGGCACUUCAUUUUGACUAUUUCCACUAUGAAAUCUGAUCUUACGAACACUUUGUUUCCAAUCGUACACAUAUAUAUGCAAUGAUAUGGACAGGAUCUCUUCAGGGCAACAAUAUCAGACCGGCAUUGUUAUAUACAACUAUUCUCUCUUCCAACUAACGCUAUCUUUAAGGAAAUCUUGCCAAUAUUUUUAACUCGUUGACUCAUCAAUGGAUGAAAUUUUGUACUUCAUGUGCAUCGGUCGACGAUCCAAUUGAUGUGCAAGUUCAUAUAGAUAACUGAUGUCAAAACAUGAAGAAUACAGACAGGUGUCGAGCCAGUCCCUCUCGAGCGCAAGAAAAAGAGAAAAAUGAAGCUGCUAGCUAGAAAGUAGAAACUACUACCAAUCUUAUCUCUGGCUGUGGUGUUGACUCGUUGAUAAGUCCUCAUAUGGAACAUUACUGUGCCUGCUAUUUGACCUUAUUUUCAUAAGGUUUUCCCCAUUCGGUAUUCUUGUUGCUAUAUACUCCCUCCG